This 497-nucleotide ribosomal RNA is filed under the name uncultured bacterium. RNAcentral's name for it is "partial 16S ribosomal RNA". It matches the Rfam family "Bacterial small subunit ribosomal RNA", at positions 28 to 507 of the family's 1533-position model. The record is from RNAcentral.
GAUGAACGCUGGUGGCGUGCCUAAUACAUGCCAGUCGAGCGAACAGACGAGGAGCUUGCUCCUCUGACGUUAGCGGCGGACGGGUGAGUAACACGUGGAUAACCUACCUAUAAGACUGGGAUAACUUCGGGAAACCGGAGCUAAUACCGGAUAAUAUAUUGAACCGCAUGGUUCAAUAGUGAAAGACGGUUUUGCUGUCACUUAUAGAUGGAUCCGCGCCGCAUUAGCUAGUUGGUAAGGUAACGGCUUACCAAGGCAACGAUGCGUAGCCGACCUGAGAGGGUGAUCGGCCACACUGGAACUGAGACACGGUCCAGACUCCUACGGGAGGCAGCAGUAGGGAAUCUUCCGCAAUGGGCGAAAGCUUGACGGAGCAACGCCGCGUGAGUGAUGAAGGUCUUCGGAUCGUAAAACUCUGUUAUUAGGGAAGAACAAAUGUGUAAGUAACUAUGCACGUCUUGACGGUACCUAAUCAGAAAGCCACGGCUAACUACGUG